GAUGAACGCUGGCGGCGUGCCUAAUACCUUUAAGUCGAGCGAACAGAUGAGAAGCUUGCUUCUCUGAUGUUAGCGGCGGACGGGUGAGUAACACGUGGGUAACCUACCUAUAAGACUGGGAUAACUCCGGGAAACCGGGGCUAAUACCAGAUAAUACAUUGAACCGCAUGGUUCAAUGUUGAAAGACGGUUUCGGCUGUCACUUAUAGAUGGACCCGCGCCGUAUUAGCUAGUUGGUAAGGUAACGGCUUACCAAGGCAACGAUACGUAGCCGACCUGAGAGGGUGAUCGGCCACACUGGAACUGAGACACGGUCCAGACUCCUACGGGAGGCAGCAGUAGGGAAUCUUCCGCAAUGGGCGAAAGCCUGACGGAGCAACGCCGCGUGAGUGAUGAAGGUCUUAGGAUCGUAAAACUCUGUUGUUAGGGAAGAACAAAUUUGUUAGUAACUGAACAAGUCUUGACGGUACCUAACCAGAAAGCCACGGCUAACUACGUGCCAGCAGCCGCGGUAAUACGUAGGUGGCAAGCGUUAUCCGGAAUUAUUGGGCGUAAAGCGCGCGUAGGCGGUUUCUUAAGUCUGAUGUGAAAGCCCACGGCUCAACCGUGGAGGGUCAUUGGAAACUGGGGAACUUGAGUGCAGAAGAGGAGAGUGGAAUUCCAUGUGUAGCGGUGAAAUGCGCAGAGAUAUGGAGGAACACCAGUGGCCGAAGGCGGCUCCUCUGGGUCUGUAACUGACGCUGAUGUGCGAAAGCGUGGAGAUCAAACAGGAUUAGAUACCCCGGUAGUACACUCCGUAAACGAUGAGUGCUAAGUGUUAGGGGGUUUCCGCCCCUUAGUGCUGCAGCUAACGCAUUAAGCACUCCGCCUGGGGAGUACGACCGCAAGGUUAAAACUCAAAGGAAUUGACGGGGACCCGCACAAGCGGUGGAGCAUGUGGUUUAAUUCGAAGCAACGCGAAGAACCUUACCAAAUCUUGACAUCCUUUGACCGCUCUAGAGAUAGAGCCUUCCCCUUCGGGGGACAAAGUGACAGGUGGUGCAUGGUUGUCGUCAGCUCGUGUCGUGAGAUGUUGGGUUAAGUCCCGCAACGAGCGCAACCCUUAAGAUUAGUUGCCAUCAUUAAGUUGGGCACUCUAGGUUGACUGCCGGUGACAAACCGGAGGAAGGUGGGGAUGACGUCAAAUCAUCAUGCCCCUUAUGAUUUGGGCUACACACGUGCUACAAUGGAUAAUACAAAGGGCAGCGAACCCGCGAGGUCAAGCAAAUCCCAUAAAAUUAUUCUCAGUUCGGAUUGUAGUCUGCAACUCGACUACAUGAAGCUGGAAUCGCUAGUAAUCGUAGAUCAGCAUGCUACGGUGAAUAAGUUCCCGGGUCUUGUACACACCGCCCGUCACACCACGAGAGUUUGUAACACCCGAAGCCGGUGGAGUAACCUUAAAUUAGGAGCUAGCCGUCGAAGGUGGGAC
This 1467-nucleotide ribosomal RNA is filed under the name uncultured bacterium. RNAcentral's name for it is "16S ribosomal RNA". It matches the Rfam family "Bacterial small subunit ribosomal RNA". The record is from RNAcentral.